RNAcentral lists this transfer RNA (66 nucleotides) under Cyrtodactylus philippinicus. Its description in RNAcentral is "tRNA-Tyr". The record is from RNAcentral. Lineage: Eukaryota; Metazoa; Chordata; Lepidosauria; Squamata; Gekkonidae.
AGGUAGGGUGGCCGAGUAGGCGGCGAGCUGUAGCCUCGUGCACGGGUCAAAAGGCCCCCCUGUCAG